GUAGUUUGUCAGUUGUCAGUUUGUCACUUGUCAGUUGUGACGUCUACAAAGAAGACUAUAGUUGAAUACAAAAUUUUUGUAGUGUCCUAAAGGUUUUUCUCAGUUUUAUUUAAAAAAAUUGAAACUUCAGUAUACACAUUUCGAGAUUACGAUAUCUGUUCCCAAGUAUCGUUCCACAUAAUAUUGAUAGGAAUAAUUGGGAAGCAUGGGUAAGACAACAAAAGUUGUUUUCAUGGGUAUGAAAGGCGUUGGCAAAACUGCAAUCCUGGAGCAAGCAAUUUAUGGAAAUGUUACCAGUAUCACACAAUUGCAAUCAACUGUAGAAGACAUCUACGUUGCCAACGUUGAAACAGAGCGAGGCACCAAAGAGCGGCUGCGGUUCUAUGACACGGCCGGACUGGAGGGCGUGGCGCAAGCGCGCAACUGCAACUACCACAUUCAGGCCGAGGGGUAUGUGCUCGUCUACGACACCGGCAGACCUGAGAGCUUUGACUGUGUCGUUGCACUCAAGAAGGAGAUCGAGAAGAGUCGUGAGAAGAAAGAGCUGACUACGAUGAUUCUGGGUAACUGUGUGACGGCCAACGAAUCUGCCAUCCCGCUGGAAAGUCCGGUGAGCAAAGCAUCGCAUUGGUCGGCCCGUGAGAAGAUUCGCCACUUCGAGGUGAACGCACUUGACAGAUCGACGCUGGCCGAGCCGUUCGUCUACAUCGCUUCAAGACUCAAUCAGCCAAUGAACAAAGGAGGCUUCCCCAGUAUGGUUCGCAAAAGUGUUAGACUGGAUUCCAGUUGAGGGCAAACUAAAUUUUACGUUGAAGUUUGUGAUGACUGAUCCUUGUCCAGCAUCUCCCGCAUGUACAUGUAAGCCGAUCUUUCUAUCUUGCUGCCGAUAAUGAAAGAUGAUCUACUGUUUUAGGUAUUUGGCGACAGGAUGUUCAUAUGCCGAACUACAUUUCAACCACAGAGUGGGAAAAUCAACAAUAGGAAAUGUGCUUCGUCAAGUUUGUGGUGUAAUUUUCGAUAAACUUAAAAACAUGUGUAUGCCAGCAGUCACAAGAGAAAAGUGGGAAUAAGUAAGCAGAGAAUUCCUCAAAAAUACCAACUUGCCCAACUGUAUUGGGGCGAUAGACUGCAAACAUGUUCGAAUCCAACAACCCAGUUACACAGGAUCUCUCUAUUUUAAUUAUAAACACUUCUUUUCUAUUGUGCUGUUAGCCGUAUGUGAUUCCAACUAUCGUUUCUUGUUUGUGGACGUCGGGUCUUAUGGAAAGAGCAACGACUGUUCAAUCUUUCAAGAUUCAUUGUUUUU
Molecule: unclassified non-coding RNA, 1306 nt
Filed under: Nilaparvata lugens (brown planthopper)
Lineage: Eukaryota; Metazoa; Arthropoda; Insecta; Hemiptera; Delphacidae
Description: nF-kappa-B inhibitor-interacting Ras-like protein 2, transcript variant X2
Source: RNAcentral